RNAcentral lists this long non-coding RNA (724 nucleotides) under Rhinopithecus bieti (black snub-nosed monkey). RNAcentral's name for it is "lncRNA (ENSRBIG00000046466.1)". The record is from RNAcentral. Lineage: Eukaryota; Metazoa; Chordata; Mammalia; Primates; Cercopithecidae.
AUGCUACACCUGCCCCAAGAUGUAAUAUUGAGCAUUGAGAUUCCAGGGGCAGUACAUCGUCCUGGAAAGCCUCAAGAAAGGAAACUUCAGAGCAAACAGAAUCAACUAGGGAUCAUGACUAUACAUCCAUCACAUGCAUACCAGCAUGGGUCCAGCCGAGGCCUCCAAAAUGAUGCUUUGCCAGCCUCAGCUGGUUCUCAAGUGAUGAUAUCCUUGAAGUCUCUGUGGCCCGUGACUCCAGAGUUAAGAAUUGCCAAGAAGAUGCUUUUAGAAGAAAUUAAAGCCAAUCUUUCCUCUGAUGAGGAUGGAUCUUCAGAUGAUGAGCCAGAAGAAGGGAAAAAAAGAACUGGAAAACAAAAUGAAGAAAACCCAGGAGAUGAGGAAGCAAAAAAUCAAAUCAAUUCUGAGUCAGAUUCAGAUUCUGAAGAAUCUAAGAAGCCAAGAUACAGACAUAGGCUUUUGAGGCACAAACUGACUGUGAGUGACGGAGAAUCUGGAGAAGAAAAAAAGACAAAGCCUAAAGAGCAUAAAGAAGUCAAAGGCAGAAACAGAAGAAAGGUGAGCAGUGAAGAUUCAGAAGAUUCUGAUUUUCAGGAAUCAGGAGUUAGUGAAGAAGUUAGUGAAUCUGAAGAUGAACAGCGGCCCAGAACAAGGUAUUAUAAUUGAUAUUUUAAAAAUUUUAGGAGUUAAUGUGAAUGACCAUGCCUUCGAAUGAUUUGUAUGG